GGCUGCACCCGCAGCACAUGGAGGUUACCAAGCUAAGGGUCUAGUCGGAGCUACAGCUGCCAGCCUACGCCAGAGCCACAGAAACACAAGAUGUGAGCCGAAUCUGCGACCUACACCACAGCUCACAGCAACGCCAGAUCCUUAACCCACUGAGCAAGGCCAGGGUUUGAACCUGCAACCUCUUGGUUCCUAGUCGGAGUCAUUAACCACUGCGCCAUGAUGGGAACUCCCUAUUUCUUUCUUUCUUUCUUUCUUUCUUCCUCUCCUUCUUUCACAGCUCCCAUGGCAUUCAGAAUUCCUGGGCCAGGGAUCAAACCCAUAACACAGCAGUGACAAUGGCAGAUCCUUAGCCACUAGACCACCAGGAAAUUCCCAAAGCUGGCAACAUUUAUACUUUUUAGACAAAGAAAGAAAACAUUGGUGAGGAAUUGACAGGACAAAGAAACGCAGGGGGCGUUUCUUUCAUAUGAGAGAUUUAUUUCCUGCUUCAGGGAGACAGAUGAAAGUCAAGAAUUUUCUUCUUGCUUCUGCUGCAUCUCAAGCAACUUCAGCUUGAACUACUCAAGAUACCAUUGUAGCAUAUUUUGGGAUACCCCAACCCUGAUCCCCAAGAAUGGCACCUAAAAGAAGUCAGGACAUAAUACAUAUUCACUCACGAUUCUUCAAUCAGAAUUUGAAUCAUUUAUUGGAAUAAAGAGUUUAUUUUAUUUUGUUUUGCCACACCCAUGGCAUACAGAAAUUCCCAGGCUAGGGUUCAAAUCAGAGCUGCAGCUGCUGGCCUAUGCCACAGCCACAGCAAUGUGGGAUCUGAGCUGUGUCUGCCGGCUUGAGGCAAUGCCAGAUUCUUAAUCCACUGAGUGAGGCCAGGGACCGAGUUGCACCCUCAUGGUUACUAAUCAAAUUCAUUUCCACUGAACCACAAAGGGAACUCCUAUUUUUAUGACUCACUUUUUUAAAAUAAUUGAGUGUUGUAGAUUCUAUUAAAUGGAAAUUUAAAAGUCCCCUACAAAGGGACACAGAGGCAUACAACCCCUGUUUCACCUUUUGUCUAGUCCUAUAAGACAUCACUGGAAGGAGUGAAAGGACAGGCAGGAAAGUGACCAGCGUGUGCAAGACCUAUUGCCCACAUCCUGUUUCUGAGAACCAGGGAAGGGUCUAGUCAACAUCUAACAGAGAUUUUUUUUUUUCUCAUAGCCUAUUCUGUGCCAGGCGAGGAGAGGCUCUGAGAAGUCAGAAAUGAAUGAGACUUAGAGGUUCAGCUCCAGGCAUUCAGAAUCUACUUAUGCAAAGACAAAAUUAAAAUGCUCUCUCUGGAUCCAGAGAAAUUAAACUUCAAAUUACAGGACAUUUUCUUUGAAAAUAUGUUACUUAGCCAUGAUGAUGAUGAUGAUGGUGAAAAUAAUACCUAAGAUUUACUUUACUCUUACUAUAAUGCAUCCAUCACAUAUUUAUUCAUAUGCUUAGUACCAAUUUUGUUUCAUUCUGGCUCAACACACUUGUAUCAAUGGACUAUCACUUUAGAUGAUAAUGUUGAGACUUGAAGAUAUUAAGAACUUUCCCAGUAUCAUUCAGAUAAUAAGUAGAAGAAGCAUGUUUCAAAAUUAAAUUGUGGGCCUCUCAGGUUCAUGCCCUGAACUCGUCCACUCUUUUUCCCCACACUUGAGAGAGGAAAGCAGAGGUUCAGAAGUCUAUUCUGGUCUUUUCUGCCUAAGACUAGAACCCAACACCCUGACUCUAUAUUCCCCUAGAGAUCAAGAGGGUAUAAAUUACAAAAAUAAAGGAGGAAGUGGACAGUGAAGCAAAGCCCGAUAGAAGAAACGAGAGAGAGAACUGCUCUGAAUUGUCAUGAGCUGAUUCUUUCUAGGAUCCCCUCCUUCAACUCAGCCAUCCUUCUUAGAGUUAAUGGAUCAGUUGCUUCCCAUGCCCUCUACUGUGGUCCUCCAAGAACCCCCAAAGGGAAGAGCACAGUGAGCAGGGUCUCUGCCUGGGAUGAAAAGGAAGAGAGUUUGCUUUUUGCUAUGUUUUUGUUUGUUAUGGCUUGAUAAAACUUCUUAAAUAUGUCCCAAAUCUUCAACAUAUUUCAAGUAUUGAUUUCUCAUCAAAUCCACCCUUCUUAUGAACAGCUGAGACAUUUAGGAUCAAAGCCAGAUCUCAAACACUAAGUUGGCCUUUUUUUAUGGUAACUUGAGUGAACUUCAAGUCAAUUCUUCCUUAUAGAGGAAAAAGCAUGUCUCCUCCUAAAUUCAGUUCCCUGAAUGCAGACUGUGUCAGCAGGAGAGAGGACUGUGUAGGUGCCUAUGAAUGGAGUUUCACUGUCUGCAUUCAAAUUGAACUUUACCCAUUUUCUACCCCCAGGGCCUGAGAAAACUACUUUAAAACACUGUGGUCCCACCCUCAGCUGUAAAGUAGUGGUAACAGAUAAAAGUAGACAAGCUACAUAAAAACCUUAUCUCAGCACCUGGCACUUGAAAUCACUACAUAAAGGCUUGUGAUAUUUGGAUUACCAUCAUCAUUUUCAUCUUUACCAUCUUCAUGAUCAAAUGGAGCACUUAGGAGUGAGUUUAGAACCACCUAUUUUCUGUACAGGUAGAAAAGAUGCCAAUGGAAGAGAGGAGCACUGUGAGGGGAAAACAGAAAUUUAAAUAAAAUUUCUGGGAUCCCCACCAGUCCCCCAAACCUCAGUUUCAUAGGUGUCUGAGCUGAAUCUGCAUUUUUCUAUACCUUCUGCCCUUCCCAACUGUCUGCUGGUUUGAGGAUGAGAACACAAGGCUCUCCCAACCUUUCCUGCAUUCAGUGUCUCCCAGGGCACCUGGCUUUCCUUGUGUUGUGUCUCUGCUGGAGCAGGACUGAGGAAGGCCCAUGGCCUGCCCCUCCCCUACCUGGUGUUGGAUGCAGGCUGAGGCUUUGUCCUCGGGACUGGCAGGAAGAGAGACCCAGGUAUGACCUCCUGGUACAGACAAACGUGGGGAGAGGAGGCAAACACAUAUGGAUCUCAUUGGACUGGAGCUGGCUAGAUGAAGGCCUAAGAAGCACAUUCUGAUUAUUUACAGUGUAAUGACCUUGAGACCUCAAGUCAUGACACAGAUAAUUAGCCAGAUUGGUCCAUGGUCUCUCAAUCUCUGAGGAUUUGCUAACUUAAUGGUAGAGGAAUAGGUAAAAAAAUGAAUGCAUUUGGAAUGCCCUAAGCUCUUACCCUUCUCAGGAGGAGGUUGACUUCUAAGUUAGGUAUCUUGUCAUUAAACACAGACACAUUUUAAUUAAUUAGAAAAUGUAAUAUGUACUUUUAUAUCUGCAAAUCCAUUGAAUUUGUCACGUAAUUUAGAGAGAUACAGGUGUUCCACCCCAAGAGUCUGACAGUAUUUCCAUUUUUUUAGUUAAGAUUUAUGUCUCUGGGAACUUCCUAUUUUUCUUUAGGUAUCCCUGGUUUGGGAUUUGAAUUUAUUGGAUAUUUAUUGAUUUUGCUAUUUCCAAUGACAGUUCAAAUUCUAGUUUUAACUUUAUUAGAAUGUUAGAUUCUAAGUUCUAAUUAAUUUAAAAUUUGAGCUCUAAUGUAUCUGCUUAUUUUAUGUUUGCUGUUACAUUUCACAAGUGGGUGUAUUGACAUAUUUCUCUGGUAACUUGCUAGCUUGCUUUCACACUUCAAGGGGGCUCAGAGACCUCUACAUUCAAAAUGUCAACCAGGACUGCAGUGCUGUCAUUCUGUGAGUAGAAGAGUGUCUGAUUCCAAAUUCACUUACAUGGUUGUUGAUAGGAUUGAUUUAUUUGAAGACCAGAGGAUUCCCUUAGUUUCUGACCAAGUAGGCUUCUGACAACAUGGCAGCUGGCUUGCAUCAUGGGUGAGCUGGUGAUACUGGCAAGGCGAAAGCAGGAUUUUUCUAAACACUAGUGGUGGACUGGACAGCCCAGUACUUUUACCAUUUCUACACAUUGGAAUAAAGUCACUGUGUCCAGUCCACACUCAAGGAUACAGGUAUAUACAAGACCACGAAUACAGGUGGGAUGGUUCAUUGGGAGCACACCUGGACCUACCCACCACAUAGUCCUGACCCUCUAUCAGGACAGUUGACUCUAAGAAAACAUAUUAUAGGGAGGAGGGAAAGAUGGCAGAGGGGCAGGACGUGGAUCACAACUUCUUCCAAAAAUACAUCAAAAACACAUCUACAUGUGGAGUGAUUCUCACAGAACAUCUACUGAACACUGGCAGAAGUUUUCAGACUUCCAAAAGGGAAAGACAAUUUCCAGGUAAGUGGGUAGGACAAAAGGGAAAAAGAAAAAAGAGAGAGAUAAAGGAAUUGGGACAGACUCUGGGAGGAAGCUGUGAAAGAGGAAAUCUUUCCAUGCAUGGGAAGACCCUUCACUGGUGGGGAGAUCCAUGGGAACAGAGGGGGAGUUUUGGAACCUUAGAGCAGAUUGUAGCCACUUGUUUGGGAAGGGAAAGCCAGAGAAAGACCUGCACAGAGGGUCAGUGCUUCCACCUGGCACACCCCAGCCUGAGAUGCUCAUCUGCUUGGGUAGGCAGGGGCUUGGUGCUGAGGCUCAGGCUUUGGGGGUAAUAUUUGGGGAGAGACUGGUGUUGGCUGCUUAGAGACAACCUGUGGGAGCUAGGGUGUAGUGCAUUAUAACUGAGCAAGUGUGGGAAGAAGCCUGGGUCCACCAGAGAGGCAGGGUGCCUUUGGGGGCAUGAGAGGGGAGGGAUGGCACCACCAUAGAUCUUUCUUUUUCUUUUUCUUUUUUUUUUUUUUUUUUUGUCUUUUUCGCCAUUUCUUGGGCCGCUCCUGCGGCAUAUGGAGGUUCCCAGGCCAGGGGUCGAAUCGGAGCUGUAGCUGCCGGCCUACGCCAGAGCCACAGCAACGCAGGAUCCGAGCCACGUCUGCGACCUACACCACAGCUCACGGCAACGCCGGAUCCUUAACCCACUGAGCAAGGGCAGGGACCGAACCCGCAACCUCAUGGUUCCUAGUCGGAUUCGCUAACCACUGCGCCACAAUGGGAACUCCAGAUCUUUCUUUUUCCAUGCACAGGCUCAGGCUGAAAGGCACCCCCCCUUUUUUUUCUUUUUAGGGCUGCACCCAUAGCAUAUGGAAGUUCCCAGACUAGGGGUCAAAUCAGAGCUGCGGCUGCUGGCCUACGCCACAGCCACGGCAACACCAGAUCUGAGCUGCAUCUGCAAUCUACACUGCAGCUCAAAGCAACACUGGCUCCUUAACCCACUUAGCAAGGCCAGGGAUUGAACCAGUGUCUUCAUGGCUACUAGUCAGGUUCAUAUCCCACUGAACCAUCACAGGAACUCCUACAAGGCACCACUUGCAUGAGCUCUGGCGGGGUGGGGUUUCACUGGUGACAUGUCAGGCUCCAGAGCAGGUAUAGGCCAUUGCCUCCACUGAGGGUCUCACUGCCAUGCCCCUACCUUCCUGGAAGUGUACGUGUGGACCAUGGCUGCCUCUCCCCCAGAGGGACCCACCACCACCAGGCAUCAACCCCUCCCCUUGCCUUCCUGGGAGUACAUAUAGUCCACCACCACCAAGAUUCCCACAGCUGCACACCAACCUCUGCCUAUGACUCCCUGGGAGUGUUCGUGGCCCACUGCUGUCUCUGCCAAGGGACCCACAGCCAAACACUGACCAUUGCCUCCACCUUCCCAGGAGCUUGUGUGGCUCCCAGUCAUCACCAAUGAUCCCAUGGCUGCCAACAUCUGUCCUUGCUUCCCUGGGAGUGUGUGUGACCCACUGUCACAGCGGCUAAAGGGCCCAUCACCAGUUGAGAACAGGUGGUUGCCACUGGACUCCAGGAGGGGUUGCACAAGGCACUGCCACCUCCCUUGGAGACUCAAUCACCAGCCAUCAUCCAGCUCCAGGAACAAUCGUGAACCACUGCUGCUCCCAUCACAUGUGAGGCACAUGUGAGGCACCACCACUACUGAGAACACUAGGACUGGGCACCAGCCACCACAUCAGCACAUCUACUCUCAGGGGGAUAAUGACCAGCACAAGCUGAGGAAAGAGGUGACAGGCACCCAUACUAAAAUAUCCUGUGACUAAGGGGGAAGAGCUGAAAUCUCUCUUCCUAACUGUGUGAACCACUGGUUUUAAGUCUCUGCUGCUUGGCUUCUAAAUUCAGCACAGGUGGAUUUCUCAUUGUGGCUCAGUGGCAACAAAAGAGACUAGUAUCCAUGAGGAUCGGGUUCAGCCCCUGGCCCCACUCAGGCGAAAUAAAGAUCCAACGUGGCCAUGAGUUGCAGUGUAGGUGCCAGAUUUGGCUUGGAUCUGGUGUUGCUGUGGCUAUGGUGUAGGCCAGCAGCUGCAGCCCCAAUU
RNAcentral lists this long non-coding RNA (6311 nucleotides) under Sus scrofa (pig). RNAcentral describes it as "lncRNA (ENSSSCG00000047138.1)". Lineage: Eukaryota; Metazoa; Chordata; Mammalia; Artiodactyla; Suidae. The record is from RNAcentral.